UCUCCGUUGGUGAACCAGCGGAGGGAUCAUUACCGAAUUUACAACUCCCAAACCCAAUGUGAACGUUACCAAACUGUUGCCUCGGCGGGGUCACGCCCCGGGUGCGUCGCAGCCCCGGAACCAGGCGCCCGCCGGAGGAACCAACCAAACUCUUUCUGUAGUCCCCUCGCGGACGUUAUUUCUUACAGCUCUGAGCAAAAAUUCAAAAUGAAUCAAAACUUUCAACAACGGAUCUCUUGGUUCUG
This 245-nucleotide unclassified non-coding RNA is filed under the name plant metagenome. RNAcentral describes it as "partial contains small subunit ribosomal RNA, internal transcribed spacer 1, and 5.8S ribosomal RNA". The record is from RNAcentral.